Molecule: ribosomal RNA, 258 nt
Filed under: uncultured Pseudomonas sp.
Lineage: Bacteria; Pseudomonadati; Pseudomonadota; Gammaproteobacteria; Pseudomonadales; Pseudomonadaceae
Description: partial 16S ribosomal RNA
Rfam family: Bacterial small subunit ribosomal RNA
Source: RNAcentral
UUAUGGUGGGCACUCUAAGGAGACUGCCGGUGACAAACCGGAGGAAGGUGGGGAUGACGUCAAGUCCAUCAUGGCCCUUACGGCCUGGGCUACACACGUGCUACAAUGGUCGGUACAAAGGGUUGCCAAGCCGCGAGGUGGAGCUAAUCCCAUAAAACCGAUCGUAGUCCGGAUCGCAGUCUGCAACUCGACUGCGUGAAGUCGGAAUCGCUAGUAAUCGUGAAUCAGAAUGUCACGGUGAAUACGUUCCCGGGCCUU